Molecule: ribosomal RNA, 591 nt
Filed under: Triticum aestivum (bread wheat)
Lineage: Eukaryota; Viridiplantae; Streptophyta; Magnoliopsida; Poales; Poaceae
Description: partial small subunit ribosomal RNA
Source: RNAcentral
AUGGUCUCCAUGGCCGCCGCAGCAGACGACGACCACGACCGCCGCCGCGUCGCCAACCUCUCGCCGUCUCCCUCGGACGCCCCUGUUCCCGCGCAGCCGCACCGCAGGCGGCUCCACAGCUUCUCCUUCCCCACGCUCAGCUGGGGCACGCACCGCCUCCUCCGAUGCUCCAAGGACCCCGCCUCGGCGCCUCCGCCUCCGCCUCCGCACACCCCGUCCCCGGACAAGGAGAAGGCCCGUCGCUCCACGGAUGGCGGUGCCGGAGGCGGUUUGCCCCAGCGCCCCCCUCAGCGGCCCUGGAACCUCCGCACCCGCCGCUCCGCCACUGCCGCACCCGGUGCGGUCGGGCCGGAGGCCGCAGCCGAUGCUGCGGCGGAGCACGCGCCGGCGCGGCCUGCGCAGACCAAGAAGCGGGGGUUUUCCAUCGUGCUGUCCAAGGAGGAGAUCGCCCAGGACUUUGCCUUCUUCCGCGGUACGCGACCCCCGCGCCGGCCCAAGAAGCGCUCUCGCCCGGUGCAGCGCCAGCUCGACUCGCUGUGCCCUGGAUUGUCCCUAGUGGAUUUGACGCCGGACUCGUACAAGAUCGAGUGA